UUUACUUUAAAUUUAAAGAAUUUGGCGGUGAUUUAGUCUUGUUAGAGGAACCUGUUUUUUAAUCGAUAUGCCACGUAUAAUUUUACUUGUUUUAUAUUAGUUUGUAUACCAUCAUUAAAAGAUAAUUUUAUAAGAAAAAAUUAUUUAAAUUAAUAUUAUUUAAAUAAAUUAGAUCAAGGUGCAGCUUAUAAGCAAGUUAAAAUGGGUUACAAUAAGAUUUAUUUAUAAUGGAAUAUUUUUGUAAGAGAAAUAAGAAGGAGGAUUUAAUUGUAAUAUAAGUUUAAUAAGCUUAUGUGAUAAUAGCUCUAAAUUAUGUACACAUCGCCC
RNAcentral lists this ribosomal RNA (327 nucleotides) under Barytelphusa sp. SD-2005. RNAcentral describes it as "partial 12S ribosomal RNA". Lineage: Eukaryota; Metazoa; Arthropoda; Malacostraca; Decapoda; Gecarcinucidae. The record is from RNAcentral.